RNAcentral lists this unclassified non-coding RNA (174 nucleotides) under Pyricularia grisea. RNAcentral describes it as "ITS2". The record is from RNAcentral. Lineage: Eukaryota; Fungi; Ascomycota; Sordariomycetes; Magnaporthales; Pyriculariaceae.
CAACCCUCAAACCUCGGCUUGGUGUUGGGGCGCCCGGGCCCUCCGCGGCCCGGGGCCCCCAAGUUCAUCGGCGGGCUCGUCGGUACACUGAGCGCAGUAAAACGCGGUAAAACGCGAACCUCGUUCGGAUCGUCCCGGCGUGCUCCAACCGCUAAACCCCCAAUUUUUUAAAGG